This 705-nucleotide unclassified non-coding RNA is filed under the name Hevea brasiliensis (rubber tree). The record is from RNAcentral. Lineage: Eukaryota; Viridiplantae; Streptophyta; Magnoliopsida; Malpighiales; Euphorbiaceae.
ACCUACUCAAAAGAGGGAUAGUCCUCAAAAGCUUAAUCUUUAAUGGCGAUUUCUCCAAGUGCUACCUUAACAUCUCAAUUCCUCAAUUAUCAAAGACCAAAUGACCAUAAAUGCCCUUCUUCUUCUUCACUGCCAUUCAGUAAAUCAAACUCAAGUACCCUACUUAUUGGUCCUUCAAGUGUAUCAUUACGAAAUGGCCAGAAAUCUAGGAGAUCUCUCCACGUUCAUGGCUUGUUUGGUGGAAAAAAGGAUAAUAACAGUGAUGAUAAUUCCUCAAAGGCUGGAGUACUUGGAAACAUGCAAAAUCUGUAUGAAACUGUAAAGAAGGCACAAAUGGUUGUUCAAGUCGAGGCAGUUCGUGUGCAGAAAGAACUUGCAGCUGCAGAGUUUGAUGGCUACUGUGAAGGUGAACUUAUAAAGGCAACACUUUCUGGUAACCAACAGCCGGUGCGCAUUGAAAUAACUGACGCUGCAAUGGACAUGGGAUCUGAUAAACUGUCACUUCUGGUAACAGAGGCGUACAAGGACGCGCACCAGAAAAGUGUACUGGCAAUGAAGGAGAGAAUGAGCAAUCUUGCUCAGAGCUUAGGGAUGCCAGCAGGAUUAGAAGGAAUGAAGUAAUCAGAAAAAUAAGUUACAGUUUUUGUUUAUAGUUUUAUUUUUACAUUUUGUGCAAAAACACUGUGAAGCAAAAAUGAGCUUUCA